CCUACGGGGGGCAGCAGUGAGGAAUAUUGGGCAAUGGGCGAGAGCCUGAACCAGUCAAGUCGCGUGAAGGAUGACGGCCCUACGGGUUGUAAACUUCUUUUGUCAGGGAGCAAUUGAGUCCACGUGUGGGCUUAGCGAGAGUACCUGAAGAAAAAGCAUCGGCUAACUCCGUGCCAGCAGCCGCGGUAAUACGGAGGAUGCGAGCGUUAGCCGGUUUUAUUGGGUUUAAAGGGUGCGUAGGCGGAAUAUCAAGUCAGCGGUAAAAAUUCGGGGCUCAACCCCGUCGUGCCGUUGAAACUGAUGUUCUGGAGUGGGCGAGAAGUAUGCGGAAUGCGUGGUGUAGCGGUGAAAUGCAUAGAUAUCACGCAGAACUCCGAUUGCGAAGGCAGCAUACCGGCGCCCAACUGACGCUGAAGCUCGAAAGCGUGGGUAUCGAACAGGAUUAGAUACCCUAGUAGUC
Molecule: ribosomal RNA, 460 nt
Filed under: uncultured bacterium
Lineage: Bacteria
Description: partial 16S ribosomal RNA
Rfam family: Bacterial small subunit ribosomal RNA
Source: RNAcentral